This 1538-nucleotide unclassified non-coding RNA is filed under the name Neodiprion pinetum (white pine sawfly). RNAcentral describes it as "retinoid-inducible serine carboxypeptidase-like, transcript variant X3". Lineage: Eukaryota; Metazoa; Arthropoda; Insecta; Hymenoptera; Diprionidae. The record is from RNAcentral.
UCACAGAAGUAUACCGCGAUGAUUCUUCCGACAAUUACUGUAAUCACCCUCACAUUACUCGCCACAGGAGCGAAUGGAAGACAAGGAUUUGGAUCUGGGGAGCAGGAAUGGGGCUACGUAACCGUGCGUCCUUACGCCCACAUGUUCUGGUGGCUUUACUACACCACGGCAAACGUAACGAAUUUCACAGAGAAGCCGCUCGUUAUAUGGCUCCAAGGAGGCCCCGGGGCUUCGUCAACGGGGUACGGGAACUUUGAAGAAUUGGGACCACUCGACCUUGAUCUAAAUGAGAGAAACUACACGUGGGUGAACGACUACAACGUACUUUUCAUCGACAAUCCCGUUGGCUCGGGAUUCAGCUACGCGGAGAAAUACUCGGGAUACCCAAAAACGAACGCUGCAAUAGCCAGCGAUCUCCUCGCCUGCAUCAAAGGUUUUCUCACAGAAUUGCCCGUUUUUGCCAUGGUCCCAACUUACAUCACCGCUGAAUCUUACGGGGGUAAAAUGGCCGCCGAGUUUGCCUACGUUUGGUACAAGGCGCAAACUGAUGGGAUAAUUGAAAGUUCGUUGAAAGGUGUGGCGAUGGGUGAUUCGUGGUUGUCGCCGAUGGAUUCUGUCAACACUUGGGCCCCUUAUCUUCUAGCCACGGGGAUGGUCGACACGAUCGGAUACGAGAAAAUCAAAGCGGCCGCACAGGCAACCCAAGACGCAGUCGACGAAGGCAGAUGGUCAGAUGCGACGUCCGAAUGGGCGACAACCGAAUACGUGAUCAUCAACGUGGCGAACAACAUCGAUUUCUACAAUAUUCUCUACAAAGUAGCGCCAUCGUCCAGUUCCUCGGCCAGAGAAUUUGCCGCCAGUAAAGCUCUGCUUCGGGACGAACGCGACGACCAGCUUGACGAGUUGAUGAACAGCGUCGUUAAGGAGGCCCUUGGGCUAAAUGUUACUUGGGGCGCACAAAGCGGCACAAUAUUUGCCGCCCUUUAUGCCGAUUUCAUGAAACCGGCAACUGACCAAGUGGAAUACUUGCUGAACAACACCGACAUCAAUAUUUUCGUAUUCACCGCGCAGCUUGAUCUCAUCGUCGACACACCUGGAACAGUUCUAUGGGUGGAACGUCUAAAGUGGCCAAACGCGACACAAUGGAUCAAUUCAUCUCGGAACCCGCUCGUUAUCGAUUCGGUUAUCGAAGGCUACGUCAAGCAGGACAAUAACUUCAAAUUAUAUUGGAUCAACAGAUCCGGACACAUGGUGCCGACUGACAAUCCUGUUGCCACCGCAGCCAUGCUGGAAGAUCUGACAAGCAACGCCGAUAGCUAGAUGCAUCAGACAAUUAAUUUUCGGUUUCAUAGAACGUGAAAAUUUCCGUGAUAUUGAAAAGGGCCAGAAUAAAUUCUUUGGUGCGCUUCAUCGACGUAAUUUUGCCAAUACGCUGCUGACUACUUGCGAUGUUGAUGAUAUGUCUCCCGAUGCAUGCCUGCUUGCUUAAGAGAGCGGAUCCGAGCCGAGGUGGCCGAUCAAAAACAGGGACUGAUUGA